AGGAGGAGCGGGAGGAGGAGGAGGGGGAGGAGGGGGAGUAGCAGGGGAAGAGACACAGUGAGAGAGAAUACAUGUAAUGCUCUCAAAUUGAAAUUCAUCCUACCCCGUCUUCCCUUUAUAAUCUCAUUCAAAUUCCACAGUCUGUUGCUCGCUCAUAUUUAAAUGAGCACUUGACUAAAUCCCUCUUGUGCUUUUGCUUUUCUUGGCCGCCGCUCUGUUGCAUCCGAGCAAGCUGGACGACGCUUCUCUGCAACAAAAAAAAAAAAAAAAGCUGGCGCGCUUCUUUGUGUUUUUGGUCAAUACGCAGAAAUAGAAUUUUAGGAAGCCGGGGGCCGUGUGCGAUGAGGCUAAACAGGUCUAAUGACAGGCUGGCUGGCGACCUGCGUCUGUUCUGGCCGGAGAAGAUUGGUGGCUGUCAUAGUCUGAGCGCAAAUAUUUCUGUGUGAGCCUCAAAGAUGGUGACGGCAGGUUGGAUCCUGAUAUUUCCCUGGGGUUCCUUGUCAAGCCAACUUGUGUUGUUUCUCCCCGGAUGAUCAGGGAGAUGGGGGGGGAGAUGGAAAGGCAGCAGGAACUUUAUCCCCUUACAGACCGAUAGAUGCUCUCACAUCACAUCCAGGUUAGAGAAGAUGCAGGUGGCACGAGGGUUUCGUGGCCUGGAGCCACUCUAAACGACUGAAAAAAGACUGUUUCAUAAAACAUAAUGAUAUGCAUGAAAAAUUAUUUAAAAAGGAGCACUUUAAACGCAGACUGCAGCGGGUUUUAUCAGAUGUAGGUGUCAAAGCUCCUGCAGAUGGAAAGGAAUGAGUAUGAAUACAUUAAGAAUAGAGGAGAAUACAAUAAAAUACAGUGCAUGAAAAUGCUAUCAGGUAUUUAUUCAGGACCGACUGUUGGAAGAGCCAUGGGAUAACUUCUGUUAUUAUUUGGUGCUUGAAUUAAAUUUGACUAUACAGUACAGCCUCAGAGCAUUGUUUCAUUUUUCUUGUAUUCGUCUUAUUUCAAUGAAUGUCCGUUGAAGUCCACAUAGAUUUCCUCGUGCUGGAUCAAAACUGCGACAAACAUUCAGGAACGCAGAGAACUGGAUCUUUCUGCAUCUGCUCAAAGCUGACAGAAACACAGUCCAUAAACUUAAUCGAGAUAUUCGUCUUCAUGGAUAAUUAUUUUUCUCAAAAAGAGCUAUAUAGUACAAUAGUUUACCUCGAGGUGUCAGUCAUAUAGCAUGCAUUAAAUAUACUGUUGACAAACCUUGAUUCCACCGGGCAAGACUC
Long non-coding RNA from Larimichthys crocea (large yellow croaker), 1265 nucleotides. RefSeq lists it as uncharacterized. The transcript has 3 exons. The record is from RefSeq and is a predicted model, not a curated record. Lineage: Eukaryota; Metazoa; Chordata; Actinopteri; Sciaenidae.